This is a long non-coding RNA of Acanthochromis polyacanthus (spiny chromis), 2474 nucleotides long. RefSeq lists it as uncharacterized. The record is from RefSeq and is a predicted model, not a curated record. Lineage: Eukaryota; Metazoa; Chordata; Actinopteri; Pomacentridae. The transcript has 3 exons.
CUCUAGGAAUGUGCAUGCUAUUUGCACACGCACACACACACACACACUUGUCAUUAUCCCCCUGUGUGUGUGUGUGUGUGUGUGUGUGUGUGUGUGUGUGUGUGUGUGUGUGUGUGUGUGUGUGUGUGUGAGUGUGUGUGUGAUGACAGAUGAGUCCUGUCGUUAGAGUCACCGAGGGGUGUGAACGUCCACACUUCAGGAGGUUUCACGUCCUGAGGACAGCACAGGCCUACUGGAAAGACUCUGUGAAAGGUCAUAGAUUCAGAGAAUAGUUGAAGCAGGUUCCUGAGUUCCUGGAUGUUCUGAUGCAGGUCUGAGGCGCUGUGAAGGUCACUGCUGAGGCGCUACAUGCCUGGAUGAACCAGUCGGAGACCCACCAGCUCUCAACCCACUGCCCUUUACAGCUCCGACUACAGACUCAGGAGGGAUUUCUACUCCGAUGGUUCUAAGGCUAAUAAUGAGGCAGAGGUCAGCUGUUGCCUGGGAACAUCCACGAUCACGCCACUGCUGGGACACAAGUCACACCGGAUUUCAGCUGAAGGCUGCUGUUCUGUCCAAACUGUCAUGAGGCACUGACAUUUUUAUUGUGAUAUACCCUCCACUGUUAGCUUUUGUUUCAAUAAGUUGUUUGAGAUGAUGAAAUCACUAUUGCAUACUCCUACUUAAAUGCCCUACUUUCAUGAUAUAUCACUUUUAUAUUUUCCAUAAAUUUCACCCGAAAGUUGAAUAAAUUUUUGGGAGUAGUGUAUGAAGACACGUCAUGUAAGCACACUUCAAUGAUAUAUCUGCUGCAGUAGUGCAGUUUAUCUAUCAAGCUUGAUGUGACAGUAGAAAAACAACGUAUGUUGCUGAUAUGUUUAAGAAUCUUGUUGAAAAGCACAACUGAUGAUCUGUCAAAAUGUGUGUAACAGAAGUGUGCACUGAAGACUGAAUGAAGUCUCUGUAGACUAUAGACAAAACAUGCAUCCCUCAUCACAAAUAUAUUUCUAUUCAUCCAAAGUGCAUGAGCAAAAAUACAAAAACAGGUAAAGUUAAAUAAAUAAAAAAAAUAAUUUAAAAAAAAUAAGAUUUUUUUUCUAGAAAAGACCAAAAGUAGUGGACAAUCCAGUCGUUCUGGGACAGUCACUCCAGUACUGACACCAUGCAUCCCAUCAGUCCAACCAAGGUUUUCCUCCAUCCUCUGGAUGUUCUGGAGCAUGGCAGAGGUCAUGUCUUGGUGUCUUCUGAUCUGUUCCAAGAACUGUUCCUCUGACCUCUCCAAAUGCUGCAGCAGAUCCACAGCAGCUUCCUGCUUCCCUUUUCAUGCAUAAAAGCACUCCAAAAGGUGCUAGUUGUUAGUAAUUACUUUCUAUAUUCAUAAACACACUUAACUUAAAGUAAAUGUUCUAUUUUGCAAUUUUAGGAUUAGCGAAAAGAUAACAUAUUGAUCAUGUUGAUGUCUGCAUAGUUUAAACAGACCUUACAUGAUUUGGUUUGUUGAGAGGAUGAGCUGCAGGAUGGGACCAGCGAGCUGCAGAGUAGUGAUCCUAACUCUCAUCAUCCAAGACUGGCAACGAAAUAAAAAUGAACAAGAAAUGUUGUUGAUAGCAUCUGUAAUUUGAAUCACUUUCUCCAUUAACUGAUUAAUUAUUGCUUUGUCCAUACAAUGUUAGAAAGUGUUUCAAAAAAUACCUGUAAUCAUUUCCAACAGUGCUAAAUUCCUUGUUUUAUUUGAGGCACAACUACAAACCACUAAAAAAAAUCUGAGUAUUAGAAAUCAAUGCAUUCAAUUUCCACAUCUGCAAAGCUGAAACCUCAAGAACAAUUAGUGAAAUUAUAAAAAAAUAGCUGCACAUUACCAGUACUCUUUACUGCACUGAAUUAGUUUGAUCAUUUGAAUCAGUUUUAGACUUGCAUUAAUGACAAUGUUAGCAAACAGUUUAUUGGUUCUUCGAGGGAAAUUUCAAUGAUAACCAUAUAGUAAUAUGAUUAAUGUGUCAUUGUGUAACAACGUGGAAGGUUUUGAAUACAGGUCUUGUCAAGAAAUAUUGCUGUUGCUUUUGUCAUGUUUUAUAAGGAGUUGUUUCAUAGCUUGGUAGCUUACAAGCAGCUCACUGGAUAGCAAACAAUAGACACGACCAACCUCUGAUCACUGAUCCAGUGUCCAUACCACAUUAGCUGGCGGAACGCUCAUAAUAUUGAUGUGGAACUAUUGUAGCUAGCGUAUUCAUAGUAGGCUAACAGCAGGGUGUUUGAGAAAUAAUACUUACCAGGAUCAAGAUCGGUGGUGGCGUUCAGGGCCACGGUUGGAAUCAUUGAAUGCAGCAGGUCACUGGUGCUAAGUCAGGCACUGGCUCCGAACUUGUACUGGAACCAGCUUGCUUGAAAAGCUAUGACGCUGUAUCGAUUAUGUGAAAAGUGUGCCUCUUGUUAAGCACUGCUUGAAUGUCUUUAUAUUUUAGGGAGAUUUCAAAAUAAAACUCAGUAAAACUGUU